Molecule: unclassified non-coding RNA, 325 nt
Organism: Cavia aperea (Brazilian guinea pig)
Lineage: Eukaryota; Metazoa; Chordata; Mammalia; Rodentia; Caviidae
Gene: 7SK
Rfam family: 7SK RNA
About the family: 7SK was discovered as an abundant small nuclear RNA in the mid-70s but a possible function has only recently been suggested. Two independent studies have found that 7SK RNA binds the CDK9/cyclin T complex (known as elongation factor P-TEFb).
Source: Ensembl
AGAUGUGAAGGAGAUCAGGCUGUGACAUCUGUCACCCCAUUGAUCACCAGAGUUGAUUCAGCUGAUCUGGCUGUCCGCGCAGGUGUCCUCUUUGUCUCUCAGUGCUCCAUGUGUUUCGCUUACAGAGCUGCAUGCGUGAUAGAAGACACAACCACCCCUGCCUGUUAGAGGAGGACAGUUCCUCAGUCAAAGGAAUGAGCAGUGGAGACCUCUCACUAGAACACCCAAACAAGCUUUCGAGUUUCAUUUAAAGAUGCAAAUAUGCAUCCAAAUAGAAAAACAUGACUGUCAAUGUAAUUUAUAUAUGUAUAUAUCUAAUAUCUAU